AAAGACUUGACGGUACUUCACAACAACCUAGAGGAGCCUGUCUAAUAACCGAUACUCCACGAUUAACCCCCCCCACUCUGGCCCAUCAGUCUAUAUACCGCCGUCGCCAGCUCACCUUGUGAAAGAAAUAGAGUGAGCAAAAUAGACUCACCCUCUAAUACGACAGGUCGAGGUGUAACUCAUGAGUGGGUAAAAAAUGGGCUACACUUCCUAAAACAGGAAAAUAACGGAGAAACUAUGAAAGUAGAAACUGAAGGUGGAUUUAGUAGUAAGAUAAGAAUAGAACGCUUA
Molecule: ribosomal RNA, 291 nt
Filed under: Hydrodynastes bicinctus
Lineage: Eukaryota; Metazoa; Chordata; Lepidosauria; Squamata; Dipsadidae
Description: partial 12S ribosomal RNA
Source: RNAcentral